GGUCCCGCCGCCCCCGCCCGGGGGAAUUUUCCGCAAUGGGCGAAAGCCUGACGGAGCAAUACCGCGUGAGGGAGGAAGGCUCUUGGGUUGUAAACCUCUUUUCUCAGGGAAUAAGAANCUGAAGGUACCUGAGGAAUCAGCAUCGGCUAACUCCGUGCCAGCAGCCGCGGUAAUANCGGAGGAUGCAAGCGUUAUCCGGAAUGAUUGGGCGUAAAGCGUCCGCAGGUGGUUUAUCAAGUCUGCUGUCAAAGAGUUUGGCUC
This 261-nucleotide ribosomal RNA is filed under the name uncultured cyanobacterium. RNAcentral's name for it is "partial 16S ribosomal RNA". It matches the Rfam family "Bacterial small subunit ribosomal RNA", at positions 328 to 610 of the family's 1533-position model. The record is from RNAcentral. Lineage: Bacteria; Bacillati; Cyanobacteriota.